GCGGCGGGCGCCCCGAUCCUCGCCUGGGGCGGAGACGCCGCGGGAGAGGGGAGCGCCGAGCGCGCGUCCCCUCCGCCACAUUCCGUCCGUCCCAUUCAGUGCCCGCCCGCGAUGUGCGGACGGCCGACGGGGAUGUCGAGUGUGUGCCGUGCGGUGUCAGUGUCGUCUGCCGUCUCCUCUUCCGACCUGAAGCAUUUGAGAAUCUCGGCUCACCAAUACUACACCAAUACUACUACUGUACUACUACUGUACACCAAUACUACUACUGUAUGCGAUGCAAGGCUCGACGGGCGACAUCCUCGCUCAAGAUGUGUACGAGUAUAGCUGGAUGCAGACGGAACGGCGGCCUCGACGACAAUGGUGACAUGACGUGACGUCAACGUGUGAUGAUGUGAUGUGACUGUGACGUGUGGAUGACUCGAACAGUAAAGGGCUGUUGAUAUGUGUUCUCAGCUCUACAUUUUUUAUGAAUACAUAUUGAUUUUGACGUUUA
Amphibalanus amphitrite is the source of this 493-nucleotide long non-coding RNA. RefSeq lists it as uncharacterized. NCBI's taxonomy places the organism in Eukaryota, Metazoa, Arthropoda, Thecostraca, Balanomorpha, Balanidae. The record is from RefSeq and is a predicted model, not a curated record. The transcript is spliced from 2 exons.